GACGUAGGGCGCGAGCGUUGUCCGGAUUUAUUGGGCGUAAAGAGCUCGUAGGCGGCUUGUCGCGUCGUCCGUGAAAACCCACAGCUCAACUGUGGGCUUGCGGUCGAUACGGGCAGGCUAGAGUUCGGUAGGGGAGACUGGAAUUCCUGGUGUAGCGGUGAAAUGCGCAGAUAUCUGGAGGAACACCGGUGGCGAAGGCGGCAUCCUGGACCGGCAUUGACGCUGAGGCGCGAAAGCCAGGGGAGCAAACGGG
This 253-nucleotide ribosomal RNA is filed under the name uncultured bacterium. RNAcentral's name for it is "partial 16S ribosomal RNA". It matches the Rfam family "Bacterial small subunit ribosomal RNA", at positions 524 to 776 of the family's 1533-position model. The record is from RNAcentral.